This 22-nucleotide microRNA is filed under the name Cervus elaphus (red deer). Its description in RNAcentral is "PC-3p-140818". Lineage: Eukaryota; Metazoa; Chordata; Mammalia; Artiodactyla; Cervidae. The record is from RNAcentral.
GCGCGCGCGGGGCCGGGGCGCG